This 468-nucleotide ribosomal RNA is filed under the name uncultured bacterium. RNAcentral describes it as "partial 16S ribosomal RNA". It matches the Rfam family "Bacterial small subunit ribosomal RNA", at positions 28 to 507 of the family's 1533-position model. The record is from RNAcentral.
GACGAACGCUGGCGGCGUGCUUAACACAUGCAAGUCGAACGGAAAGGCCCUGCUUUUGUGGGGUUCUCGAGUGGCGAACGGGUGAGUAACACGUGAGUAACCUGCCCUUGACUUUGGGAUAACUUCAGGAAACUGGGGCUAAUACCGGAUAGCAGCCCCUGCUGCAUGGUGGGGGUUGGAAAGUUUCGGCGGUUGGGGAUGGACUCGCGGCUUAUCAGCUUGUUGGUGGGGUAGUGGCUUACCAAGGCUUUGACGGGUAGCCGGCCUGAGAGGGUGACCGGCCACAUUGGGACUGAGAUACGGCCCAGACUCCUACGGGAGGCAGCAGUGGGGAAUAUUGCACAAUGGGCGGAAGCCUGAUGCAGAAACGCCGCGUGCGGGAUGACGGCCUUCGGGUUGUAAACCGCUUUCGCCUGUGACGAAGCGUGAGUGACGGUAAUGGGUAAAGAAGCACCGGCUAACUACGUG